GGCAUGGACCCCUCCUGGCAUCCUGCAUAUUUUAGCAUUUGUUCCUGCCUCUCCCCACUAGAAUGCAAGCUGCAAGGGAACUGUAUCCUUAAGGCCUGGUCUGCGAAGCCUGAGUCCUGUCCUCUCGCUCUCCUCCCCGGGCAGCAUGAGCUUCACCACUUGCUCCUCCUUUUCCACCAACUACCGGUCCGUGGGCUCCAUCCGGGUGCCCAGCUAUGGCGCCUGGCUGGUCAGCAGCGCGGCCAGCGUCUAUGCAGGCGCCAGGGGCUCUGGUUCCCGCGUCUCCGUGACGCGCUCCACCAGCGUCCGGAGCGGCAGGGUCGUGGGGGCCUGGCCGCGGGGAUGGCCAGGGGUCUGGCAGGAAUGGGAGGCAUCCAGAACGAGAAGGAGACCAUGCAAAUCCUGAACGACUGCCUGGCCUCCUACGUGGACAGAGUCAGGAGCCUGGAGACCGAGAACCGAAAGCUGGAGAUCAAAAUCCGGGAGCACCUGGAGAAGAAGGGACCCCAGGUCAGAGACUGGGGCCAUUACUUCAAGAUCAUCGAGGACCUGGGGGCUCAGAUCUUCUCAAAUACUGUGGACAAUGCCCGCAUCAUUCUGCAGAUUGACAAUGCUCUCUUGCUGCUGAUGACUUUAGAGUCAAGUAUGAGACAGAGCUGGCCAUGCGCCAGUCUGUGGAGAGCGACAUCCAUGGUCUCCGCAAGGUCAUCGAUGACACCAAUGUCACUCGGCUGCAGCUGGAGACAGAGAUCGAGGCUCUCAAGGAGGAGCUGCUCUUCAUGAAGAAGAUCCAUGAAGAGGAAGUAAAUGGCCUACAAGCCCAGAUUGCCAGCUCUGGGUUGACCGUGGAGGUAGAUGCCCCCAAAUCUCAGGACCUUGCUAAGAUCAUGGCAGAAAUCCGGGCUCAGUAUGAUGAGCUGGCUCGGAAGAACCGAGAGAAGCUGGACAAGUACUGGACUCAGCUGAUUGAGGAGAGUACCACAAUAGUCACCACACAGUCCACUGAGGUUGAAACUGCUGAGAAGAUGCUCACAGAGCUGAGACGUACAGUCCAGUCCUUGGAGAUUGACCUGGACUCCAUGAGAAAUACAAAGAUCAGCUUGGAGAACAGCCUGAGGGAGGUGGAGGUCCGCUAUGCCCUGCAGAUGGAGCAGCUCAACGGGAUCCUGCUGCACCUGGAGUCAGAGCUGGCACAGACCCGGGCAGAGGGACAGCGCCAGGCCCAGGAGUACGAGGCUCUGUUGAACAUCAAGGUCAAGCUGGAGGCUGAGAUCGCCACCUACCGUCGCCUGCUGGAAGAUGGGGAGGACUUCAGUCUCAGUGAUGCCUUGAACAGCAGCAGCAACUCCAUGCAAACCAUCCAAAAGACGGCCACCCGCCAGAUAGUGGAUGGCAAAGUGGUGUCUGAGACCAACGACACUAAAGUUCUGAGACAUUAUGCCAGCAGAAGCAGGGGACCCUUGGGGGAGCAGGAGGCCAAUAAAAGUUCAGAGGUCAAAAAAAAAAAAUCUGAAUUUUAAUCUUGGAGACAGAGGCUAUCCCUUAUUUUUUGAAACAGAGAUUGCAAAUCCUGGGGCCUGAGCUGUUCCACCCUAAGGUUAGUAAACUUUAAUGAACAUCUGAUGCUGAUCUUCUGAGUGGGAAUGUUUUCAUGUAACCAGCGGGAGGGAGAAGGUUCUCCCUUUUAGCAACUAUUUUGCAAGAUGAUUUCCUCAUGGGCCUGGUCUCCUUGUCCUCAUCAUGACCUCGUAACCACAUCAGUCCCAGCUUAUUUCUGAGAAAGCUGGGGCUCUGAGCCCCACUGAGAAUUGGCAACUGGGCUCAGGUAGCAGGGACACAGUGAGGGGGGAGGAUUUUGCAGCCAAAGUUGGGAGAGGCAAAGCUGGGAGUCACAGGGGGAGAGAGAGGUUGCUGGGGACAAGAUGAUGCCAGCACAGCUCAGGAUUGGCCUUGACUUCCCCACCAGAGUUGACCUGAUUCUGAAGACCAAGACCAUAGCUCCAAUAAACCAGACCCAUCCUCAUUGUUAGUCUCCUGGGGCCAUAAAAUCUAGGGAGACAGGGUCCCCAGACAGAACAAAGUUAAAUUUACCAGAGCUCUAGGCAUUCAUUCACCCUGAUCCAGAGCUUUCACACACCCAGGGAAAGAAUCAUAAUUCCUACAGAUAACGGACUAAGGCUAAUAGGGCAAUGAGGAAGUGCUGGGGGCAUAAUUCCCUGUGCACACCUGCCCAUCUGAGCUCUUCCACAGCGGUUCUGUGGGACCCUCACACAGCUUCCAUGCUCCUGCUCAUACUGCUUGCCCAGCCAGGAGUCUUCCAGCUCCACCUGAGUUACGCAAACCCCCAAGUGAAGCCAAUUUGCUUCAGCCUUCUCUUCCACAGCCUCCUGUUUAUUCCCAGGAGAUUCAGUGUCUUUCUUUUGCACCCUGGGUCCCUUCACUUGUGCUUCUACCAUGAGUGGUCACAAGCUCUGUGCCCUUUGGUGUGGAUCUCUCUGUUGGAGGACACAGGACAUUCUGUAAGUCAGGAAUGGGUGUCAUCCUUAACAGAGAUGGCCAUGUGGCCCAGGUUCUAUAUGCACCUGCAAAACUGCUGUUUCUGGCUUCUAUAAACAAUCUCUGGCUGGGCUGGUGGCUCAUGCCCAUAAUCUCAGCACUUUGGAGGCCUAAGUUGGCAGUUGGCAUGAGUCCAGGAGUUUGAGACCAGCUUGGGCAACAUGGUGAGAUAUGGUCUCUACAAAAAGUAAAAAAGAGAGAGAGAGAGAGAUGGACACAGUGGCUCACGCCUGUAAUCGCAGCACUUUGGGAGGCCAAGGUGGGUGGAUCACCUGAGGUCAGGAGUUAGAGACCAGCCUGGCCAAUAUGGUGAAACCCUAUCUUUACUAAAAAUACAAAACUUAGCCAGGUGUGGUGGUACACACCUGUAGUCUCAGCUACUCAGGAGGCUGAGACAAAAGAAUCACUUGAACCCAGGAUGCGGAUGUUUCAGUGAGCUGAGAUCUGAGAUCCCACCACUGUGCUCCAGCCUGGGUGACAAAGUGAGACUCCAUCUCAAAAACAAAAAGAAAAGAAAAAGAAAAAGGCAGAGCACUGUGGCUCACACGUGUAAUCCCAGGACUUUGGGAGGCCAAGGUGGGCAGAUCAUGAGAUCAGUAGAUAAGACUGACCUGGCCAACAUGGUGAAACACUGUCUCUACUAAAAAUACAAAAAAUUAGUCCCAGCUACUUGAGAUGCUGAGGCAGGAGAAUCUCAUGAACCUAAGAGGCAGAGGUUAUAGUGAGCAGAGAUGGCACCACUGCACUACAGCCUGGUGACAGAGUGAGACUCUGUCCCCCCAAAAAAGAAAAUAAAAUUAAAAAGAGUCAACAUGGUGGUGCGUGACUGUAGUCCCAGCUGCUCCUCUGGAGGCUAAGGUGGGAGGAUCACCUGAACCCUGGAGAUGGAGGUUGCACUGAGCCCGGAUUGCACCACUGCACUCCAGCCUGGGUGACACAGUAAGACUCUGUCCCCACAAAAAAUAAAAAAUCUGUCUUUAUCUACAAGAGAUACCUGCUGCCAAACUCACAAAGAGGAAAUCAUGCAGCAGACUAUGUACUCUCAGAAACCUGAGAAAAGUGGCCAGGAUCUCAGCCAGAGUUACCCCUGUCCUGCAAAGCCCUGCAGUCCCAUCUGUGAUGUUUCUAUGCACUGAAAAAAGAAGAGAUGAAUUUUGUUUUUUACAAAUUACUUUAUACUGUUCAAAUCAACACAUCAAGUGAUGCAUUUAAAGGUGUUGGUUGAGGUUUCAGAGGCCACGUGCCUAGAGGAGGGGGCUGAAGUCUGAGAGGACACUCAGGUGAAGGUUGAGUGUCAGUUGAGACAGCAGGUCAGCCAAGUGAGGGAGAUGGCUGAAGUACUAGAGAAGACCUAGGGGAAGGAGGUGGCUGAGGGCUGAGAGGUCAUGAGAAGAUUCUUUAGGUACUAGAGGAGACUCAUUUGAAGGUGACAGCUAAGGGAGGCCACCAAGGUAGAGAAGGUGGCUGAGGUUCCAGAGGCCAUUAACUGGAGAAGUAGGCUGAGGUCCCAGAGGCCACACUGCUGGAGGAAGAAGAUGAGUUCCCCCAGGACAGACAGCUGGAUGAGGUGGAUAAGGUCCCCCAGGACAGACAGAUAGAUGAGGUGAAUGGGGUCCCCCAGGAUAGACAGCUGAAGUGAAUGGGGUUCCCCAGGAUAGACAGGUGGAUGAGGUGGAUGGGGUCCUCCAGGAUAGACAGGUGGAUGAGGUAGAUGGGGUCCCCCAGGAUAGACAGGUGGGUGAGGUGGAUGGGGUCCCCCAGGAUAGACAGGUGGAUG
Molecule: RNA transcript, 4333 nt
Organism: Callithrix jacchus (white-tufted-ear marmoset)
Lineage: Eukaryota; Metazoa; Chordata; Mammalia; Primates; Cebidae
Gene name: keratin, type I cytoskeletal 18 pseudogene
Source: RefSeq, a predicted model, not a curated record